Molecule: long non-coding RNA, 1340 nt
Organism: Rattus rattus (black rat)
Lineage: Eukaryota; Metazoa; Chordata; Mammalia; Rodentia; Muridae
Exons: 2
Source: RefSeq, a predicted model, not a curated record
UGACCUCCUUCCCAGGAACUCAAAAGGCAAAAAGGAGGUAUCCGUUGGAAGUUAAGGUAACUGGAUCUUGUGAUGGUGUGAGGUUGCCACACCCCCUGCUCCUUAACCUUCCUUAGCUCCCCACUGCCCCAUAGUUCUCAAGCUCUUGGUUCCAAACCACGAUGGCACAUCCUGCCCAUUGGCAGGUUCCAUGGCCCCUGCCCCUUUGCUUUUCUCUCCAGGGCCACGUUUGUCGUUCUGCUAGCCUUUGCCACUUCCUGGAAGGCCGGGACACCUCUGCGUAGCUACCGAUUUCUUCCACGUGACUCUUCUGGAGGCUUUCGCGUUGGGAGGAGGGAGCGGAGCUGAGGCCCAGGGGGGCAGGUUCUCCGCCGCAGCCAGUGAAACCUGCGGCAGAUCCAGGACACUAGCUUGGGUCACGCCUCCCCGAGGCCAGUGGGUGUGGCUCCGUGGUUCCUCCUCUCAGGCCAGUGAGCUCUCACUGCGUAGUUACCAGGGACAGAGUCACCGGGGAGCCCCUUAGGAUCCAAGUCCCAGCUUGACACCCCUGCUUUGUCACCCCAAACAAGUCAUGUCACCUUCCUCUGUAAAAUGCAUGGAGAUCACGCUCCCUGACAGGUCAUGUUAAGGGUCAAAUGAUGCGUUGUUAGGACUAAUAUUUAUUUAUUUAGUGUUUAUUUUUGUGUAAGAGUAUAUAUGCAGUGUAUAUGUGUGGUAUAUGUACCAGUGGAGGGCAAGGGAUCUGCACAGGAGGCCAGAGGAGGGUGUCAGGUGUCCUGAUCUACCACUCUCUGCCUUAUUCCCUUGAAAUAUUACUGUCUCGCCAAACCUGAACAAGGCUAGUGGAUUGCAGGCCCUUGAGAUCCUCUUUAUCUCUGCCCCCCACAAUGCUGGGUUUGCAAACAUGUCAGACAGCUUUUUACAUGGGUACUGAGGGCCUGAAAUCAGAUCUUCGUGUUUGCUCAGCAAACAUUCUUACCAUCCAAGCCAUCUUUCUAGCCCAUACUGAGGGCUAAUCACACUAUAAGUGUUAGAUCUAGAACAGAGGAGCCACAGAGCCACGUGAUGCAAAAUUCAAAAUACAGCAUAAAAGCCCCCGCUCAGCACCAGCCCUGAUGGAACCCGCUAGGUCCCAGGUGGCUGUCCCUCCGGAAGUCAGCCAACGUUCCCUCUAGUGAGGCAUGGGUACAGACACACAUUUAUACACAUGUUACUGUCAUGGAACACCUGGGCUGUGCUAUACCCUUCUGCACAUAGUAGGUAUUCAGAGAUGGCUAGGUUUAUGUGGCACCUGCCAUUAUUGCAUUCAUAGUGAGGAGAUUAAAAAGACCUUCCCAAGA